Molecule: ribosomal RNA, 361 nt
Organism: Saccharomyces cerevisiae S288C
Lineage: Eukaryota; Fungi; Ascomycota; Saccharomycetes; Saccharomycetales; Saccharomycetaceae
Source: Ensembl
AAGAAAUUUAAUAAUUUUGAAAAUGGAUUUUUUUGUUUUGGCAAGAGCAUGAGAGCUUUUACUGGGCAAGAAGACAAGAGAUGGAGAGUCCAGCCGGGCCUGCGCUUAAGUGCGCGGUCUUGCUAGGCUUGUAAGUUUCUUUCUUGCUAUUCCAAACGGUGAGAGAUUUCUGUGCUUUUGUUAUAGGACAAUUAAAACCGUUUCAAUACAACACACUGUGGAGUUUUCAUAUCUUUGCAACUUUUUCUUUGGGCAUUCGAGCAAUCGGGGCCCAGAGGUAACAAACACAAACAAUUUUAUCUAUUCAUUAAAUUUUUGUCAAAAACAAGAAUUUUCGUAACUGGAAAUUUUAAAAUAUUAA